Mandrillus leucophaeus (drill) is the source of this 2103-nucleotide RNA transcript. It is a transcript of the gene named protein SDA1 homolog, with no coding region annotated. Lineage: Eukaryota; Metazoa; Chordata; Mammalia; Primates; Cercopithecidae. The transcript has 2 exons. The record is from RefSeq and is a predicted model, not a curated record.
AUGUCCAGCAGAAACAACAACAAGCUGCCCAGCAACCUGCCGCAGUUACAGAAUCUGAUCAAGCGAGACCCACCGCCCUACAUCGAGGAGUUUCUACAGCAGUGUAAUCACUACACAUCCAGUGUGGAGAUUUUCAAAUUGCAACCAAAUAAACCCAGCAAAGAACUAGCAGAACUGGUAAUGUUUAUGGCACAGAUUAGUCUCUGCUACACAGGGUAUCUAAGUAAUUUUCCUCAAGUGGUGAAAGAUCUUCUGUCCUGUAAUCAUACCGUAUUGGAUCCAGAUCUUCGAAUGACGUUUUGCAAAGCUUUGAUCUUGCUGAGAAAUAAGAAUCUCAUCAAUCCAUCAAGCCUACCAGAGCUCUUCUUUGAACUUCUAUGUUGCCAUGAUAAGCUUCUGCAAAAGACUUUAUACACACAUAUUGUGACUGAUAUCAAGAAUGCAAACACAAAACACAAGAAUAAAGUGGAUGUAGUGUUGCAAAAUUUCAUGUACACCAUGUUAAGAGAUAGCAAUGCAACCACAGCCAAGAUGUCUUUAGAUGUUAUGACUGAACACUACAGAAGGAACAUCUGGAAUGAUACCAAAACUGUCAGUGUUAUCACAACUGCCUGUUUCUCUAAGGUCACCAAGAUAUUAGUUGCUGCUAUGACAUUCUUUCUUGGGAAAGAUGGAGAUGAAAUACAGGACAGUGACUCCGAAUCUGAGGAUGACGGACCAACAGCAAGAGACCUGCUAGCACAAUAUGCUAUAGGGAAGAAAAGUUCCCAAAACAAGAAAACAUUGGAAAAGGGAAUAAAAGUGCUCAAGAAACAAAAGAAGAAGAAAAAACCAGAGGUGUUUAACUUUUUAGCUGUUCACUUGAUUCAUGAUCCCCAAGAUUUUGCAGAAAAACUACUAAAGCAGCUUGAAUGCUGUAAGGAGAGGUUGGUAGUGAAGAUGAUGCUCAUGAACCUCAUCUCCAGAUUGGUGGGAAUUCAUGAGCUCUUCCUCUUCAAUUUCUGUCACUUUUUGCAAAAGUUUCUGCAGCCCACCAAAGAGAAGUAACAAAGAUCCUUGUUUGCUGCACAAGCAUCUCAUCACCUAGUACACCCAGCGAUUAUUCAAUCAUUGCUUAUGACUGUGGCCAACAAUUUUGUUACUGACAAGAACUCUGGAGAAGCCAUGACAGUAGGAAUCAAUGCUAUAAAAGAGAUAACAGCUCAGUGUCCUCUGGCCAUGACUGAAGAGCUUCUCCAAGACCUGGCCUGGCUCAGUAUAAACCACACAAGAAUAAGAAUGUAAUGAUGUCUGGUAGAACUUUGAUUCAGCUCUUCCAAACACUGAAUCCUCAGAUGCUGCAGAAGAAAUUCUGGGGUAAGCCUACAGAAGCCUUUGGAGAAGCAAGAGUACAGUAAUAUGGAGAAUUAGAUGCUAAAGAUUACAUUCCAGGAGCAGAAGUUCUGGAAGUUGAGAAAGAGGAGAAUGCUGAAAAUGAUGAAGAUGGAUGGGGAAGUACCAGUCUCAGUGAGGAGGAGGAUGCCGAUGGAGAAUGGGUUGAUGUUCAACACUCUUCCGAUGAAGAACAGCAAGAAAUUUCCAAGAAGCUGAACAGCAUGCCCAUGGAAGAGCAGAAAGCCAAAGCAGCAGCCAUCAGCACCAGUAGAGUUUUAAGUCAGGAAGACUUCCAGAAAAUCCGCAUUGCCCAAAUGAGAAAAGAACUUGACGCUGGCCCCUGAGAAAUCCCAGAAGAGGAAAUAUAUUGAAAUCGACAGUGAUGAAGAGCCCAGGGGUGAAUUACUUUCUCUUCGGGACGUUGAACGCCUUCAUAAAAAGCCAAAGCCAAAGUCUGACAAAGAGACAAGAAUAGCAACUGCAAUGUCUGGAAAGACAGACUGAAAAGGAUUUGUGAGGAAGAAAACCAAAAUGAAUCCAUUUUCCAGUUCAAAAAGUAAAGAGAAGAAAAAACAGAAGAACUUUAUGAUGAUGCUGUAUAGCCAGAAUGUCUGGUCAAACAAUAAGCGUUCCUUCCGAGAAAAAUAGUUGGCGCUGCGAGAUGCACUUUUGAAAAAGAGAAAAAGAAUGAACUUCCCAGAAAGUUUUCCAUUCCAAGAAGAAUGCUAA